ACUGCAGGAUUAAUGUAGGCUGACCACUGCAGCAGUGUUUAUUAUACAAUCUGCUUGAGCCUUUCAUCAUGUCAAAGAGUUUUUAAAUGAAAUCAUGAAGUAGUGUCUAGAAAUUACCUAAAUCCCUCCAAAGAAGAGCAAUUUUUGUGG
This 150-nucleotide long non-coding RNA is filed under the name Capra hircus (goat). Its description in RNAcentral is "lncRNA (ENSCHIG00010010554.1)". The record is from RNAcentral. Lineage: Eukaryota; Metazoa; Chordata; Mammalia; Artiodactyla; Bovidae.